UCUGGCAUCUGUCUCUUCCAGCGGCUACAUGAUGUCUCCCUGGCAUCUGGCAUCUCCCUGGUGUCUUCCUGACUCCAUCCUCUUUCCUCCACUAUCUGCAUGGAAUUCCUUUCUUUGUUCUGCUCAGCCACUUAAUGAAACAACUUUAUUCAUUAACCAACAAAAGCAACACUUGUAUAGAAGGAUUUCCCACACCAGCCUGGAAUUCAGUGUCCUUAAAAGGAGUAGGCUCAGAAUUGGAUCCUAAGGGCACAAAGGUGGGAGCCUGGCCCUGAUUGCACAUUUCUAAAGAUCUCUUUCUCUUUCUCCUUUGUCUGGCUGCCUCUUACUUUCCAGGCACUCUGCCCACUUCUAGCAGAUAUGUACAUGCAACUUGGAGUGCUGGUCAUGCCUAUCUUAGCUUGGAAGGGUCUAGCCCCACCCUGGCAGUAGGUUAGAAAAAUGAUACAUUAAAGACUUUUGGCUGUGUUUUCAUUUUUUACAAAAAAGCACUGAUGGGUGUCAUCGGAGUGUGUCCAAAUCAAUGCAUUAUCUGAAGGGACUCAGCUAGAACAAACCAAAACAACAAAACAUCUUCAGAGCUGAGCCAAUCUUUUGUUCCCUUCAAGCCUCAGUGGAGCCUGAGACUAAAGCCUGAAGGACUGAUCCCUGAAGCAGAAGUGGCCCUCAGCUCAAAACUACCCGGCCCCUGCCUUGUAUCCCAGCAGUCCUUGCUGCUUCUGGUUCCCAGGAUAACCUCAGAAACACUCCACGCCUCCCUGUGCCCCCUGCUCCUUCAGUGCCUUUGUUCAGAGGGCUCAUCCUUCUCCCUUCACCUCUCACAUGCAUACUAAAAUACUGGCUCAUGCUUCAAAGCCGAAGGAUCGUUCCAUUAUUUAUUUUUUUACAAGUUUUAAUUGGAAGUUCAGGAGCAUAAUUCAGUGGCCAAUUUGGUUAGUGGAGACACCAAAGAUGAACAAGACAUAGUUCCUGUUCUUAAACAAUAUUCAGUCUAAGGCUAGAUGAAUGGUUUAGUGAGUAAAAGCUUUUAACCCACAAGCAAGACCAUUUCAGUUGACACUCAGAGACCAUAAUGAAACGGAUAACUGGGAAGGAUGUGGUGGCAGGCAUCUGUAACCCCAAUGUUCCUACAGUGAGAUGGAGGGGAGACAGGAGAAAAGAACACCUCCAGGCUUGGAGGACAGAGUGAUCUAAAGGAAGAGACAUUCUGUCUUGACAGAAGAGGUUGAAAGAAUAAACUUCCCACAACCAUCUUCUGAUCUGUCUGAACACAACCAUGUACACACCUGUGCUCACAUAUACACAUAUAAUAGUAAAUCAAUGGUUUAGUUAUGUGCAGUAAGACACACUCAUAGCCAGACAUGCAGUGCAAGAAUUUUAGUGAACUCACAGUGCUGUGUAUAGACCUCCAUCUUGAACUCCUUGAGAACAUCAUAAUAGGUCACACAGGCUCUCUGGGGUUGUUGGCCUCUGACAUAGCCUGAGAUGUGAAGGAGAAGACAGGAAUUCUAGGGGAUAGCAACCGUUUCACCUAAUAUCAUUAUUCCCAAUUUAGAGCUGAGCAAACACUGAGUGAGUGUCCCCAAAUGUUGAGUUAACAAACAGCAGAGCUGUUUCCUAUCCCAAUGCACAGCCUAAGGCAGUCUCUAACUCAUUAACUCAGCCUGGCUUUAACUUAUCCUGGGAAUCCAGGCACAAAGGAUCCAGGGGGAUGACCUUUUUGAUUUGUCUUGAGACAGAUAUCACUAUACAUCGCAAGCUAGCUUUGGACUCCUGAUCUUCCUAAUCCUCCUGCCUCAGCAUCCAAACCACUGUGAAUGCAGUCAUAUGUCACUGUGCUCAGUCCUACUGUGAAGACAAAAGAAGCAGAAGGAACACAGCAGAACAGGUUAAUGCAGGUGGAUGGCAGUAAGGGAGGAACAGAGAGGAGCAAGCCCUGUCUUCUCGCCCACGCCCUUGGUGACAUGUGUGUCUCAUCACUGCCUCAGAGUUUGGAGACAUGGUCAUCAGGGUCUCACCACAGGAGCUCAGAUUAGGGAACUUGGGCCCAGACACAGACAACUAUGUAAGAUGAUGAAAGACAAUGUGAGACUCAGAGAGAAGAUGGUUAUUACAAGAGUGGAGGGAGGUGGAUGAAGAACAACAGACAGCAGCUGAGCAGGAAUUGACCUCGUUGUCAGAACUGGGAUGGGUCUUGGAGCGCCACGAAAGUGAGCAUUGCUCAGCUCUGAUGAGGACUCAAACUACCUGGAACAUGGAACCAGGACUAAGAAUCCAGACUGCUCAUAAUAUCAACAACAACAUCCAAAUAACUUUUC
Long non-coding RNA from Myodes glareolus (Bank vole), 2318 nucleotides. RefSeq lists it as uncharacterized. Lineage: Eukaryota; Metazoa; Chordata; Mammalia; Rodentia; Cricetidae. The record is from RefSeq and is a predicted model, not a curated record.